This is a long non-coding RNA of Rhagoletis pomonella (apple maggot), 1198 nucleotides long. RefSeq lists it as uncharacterized. The transcript has 3 exons. Lineage: Eukaryota; Metazoa; Arthropoda; Insecta; Diptera; Tephritidae. The record is from RefSeq and is a predicted model, not a curated record.
UUAAAACCCCAUAAAUAAACAAGGUAAAUCAGAAAAAUUUAUGUAACUUCGAAGUUAACGCUAAGAAAAUUGAUAGAAGUUGUUUUCUUAGUGUUAACGCGCAUUACCAGCGUUAACUUGGAAGGUUUAGAAAAAACCACUGUCGAAUAUUUUCUCAACAUUGACUCCUAGGAUGUCUAUAGCUGGAUAACAAACCCGUUUUCAUGUGACCCGAAAAAUAAACCUACUGGGAAGACAAAUUAAGCUUUUGAAAACCGUUUGACCAUCAGUGAACACAGCCCUUUGAAUAUAAAGUACUACGAAGGGAGCGAAGAGAGUUCUGGAUGUAAGUGUACGCAGAAAACAAUGCUGUUGGCAAGAUUGCAUUAAAAGUACUAGAUAGUGACUCUUACUUUUACACAAGGGUGCCGGGGUGAAAAAAGUUUGGGAAGGCCUGGUCUAGCAGAUGAGUGUAUGUAUGCUUGUACAUUAUUGGCCGUUUAUGCUGAACGUUGAAGCUGCAUUUAGCACAUUUAGCUCUAAAUGUACAUUUACCCAUACAAAAUUCGCGACCUAAAUGCAACUAAAUGCUAUAUAUUUUUGGCUUUAAGAAUCUAAAUGCCGCGUGCAACUCUGUAAUCUUCGAAAAAACACCACGAUUCGAAGAAGCUGUAGUGAAAAAGAGUGGCAGCAUCGCUUGUUUGCGUAUACAUAUUUGUUUACAUUCUGUUUUGCGUAUACAUACAUAUAUUGUGAUAUUUGUGCCGGAGUUUCCUUCAUUUCGGUUCAUUAAAUAUACUUUGUAAUUUUAAGUAAAGAAUUAAGAAAAAUUUAUUUAAAAAAUGAAGUGAACGAGAUGUCCAUGCACCGCAGCAGGAGGCGUUUGUGGAGUUGUGGCAGCAAAAAGUGGAUGAUUUGAGGGGGCCCAGGAAAAACGGCCAUGUUUACUAAGAGAUGGCGGCUGAAUUGCACAUGCAGGGCUAUGAUGUCAACUCCUCAUUAGUUAAAACGAAGAUUGACAAUCUGACGGCGAAAUACAGACCGGCCAAGGCAGCUAUGGGAACAAAAGGCGGCUUUCCUGCAUCAUCUAAAUUAAUAAUGUAGAGGCUCUAAUUGAAGAAAGUUUUGAACUUUCAGAGUCACCAACCCAUCUCUCACCGCUACCGACAGAGAUAUCGCCGUUAUCUCCAUCACCUUUGCCGUCUACUUCGUCCUCAGC